GAUGAACGCUGGCGGCGUGCCUAAUACAUGCAAGUCGAACGAAACUUCUUUAUCACCGAGUGCUUGCACUCACCGAUAAAGAGUUGAGUGGCGAACGGGUGAGUAACACGUGGGCAACCUGCCCAAAAGAGGGGGAUAACGCUUGGAAACAGGUGCUAAUACCGCAUAACCAUAGUUACCGCAUGGUAACUAUGUAAAAGGUGGCUAUACUACCGCUUUUGGAUGGGCCCGCGGCGCAUUAGCUAGUUGGUAGGGUAAAGGCUUACCAAGGCAAUGAUGCGUAGCCGAAUUGAGAGGUUGAUCGGCCACAUUGGGACUGAGACACGGCCCAAACUCCUACGGGAGGCAGCAGUAGGGAAUCUUCCACAAUGGGCGAAAGCCUGAUGGAGCAACGCCGCGUGGGUGAAGAAGGUCUUCGGAUCGUAAAACCCUGUUGUUAGAGAAGAAAGUGCGUGAGAGUAACUGUUCACGUUUCGACGGUAUCUAACCAGAAAGCCACGGCUAACUACGUG
Molecule: ribosomal RNA, 512 nt
Filed under: uncultured bacterium
Lineage: Bacteria
Description: partial 16S ribosomal RNA
Rfam family: Bacterial small subunit ribosomal RNA
Source: RNAcentral